GGUGGGGCAUGCAGGUAGGCUGCAGAAGACAAUACAGUGGUAUAGAACAACACGGGUGGGGCAUGCAGGUAGGCUGUAAAAGACAAUACAGUGGUAUAGAACAACACGGGUGGGGCAUGCAGGUGGGCUGCAGAAGACAAUACAGUGGUAUAGAACAACACGGGUGGGGCAUGCAGGUGGGCUGCAGAAGACAAUACAGUGGUAUAGAACAACACGGGUGGGGCAUGCAGGUGGGCUGCAGAAGACAAUACAGUGGUAUAGAACAACACGGGUGGGGCAUGCAGGUGGGCUGCAGAAGACAAUACAGUGGUAUAGAA
Long non-coding RNA from Oncorhynchus tshawytscha (Chinook salmon), 317 nucleotides. The record is from Ensembl. Lineage: Eukaryota; Metazoa; Chordata; Actinopteri; Salmoniformes; Salmonidae.